GAUGAAGAACGCAGUGAAAUGCGAUAAGUAAUGUGAAUUGCAGAAUUCAGUGAAUCAUCGAAUCUUUGAACGCACAUUGCGCCCUCUGGUAUUCCGGGGGGCAUGCCUGUUCGAGCGUCAUUAUAACCACUCAAGCUCUCGCUUGGUAUUGGGGUUCGCGGUUUCGCGGCCCCUAAAAUCAGUGGCGGUGCCUGUCGGCUCUACGCGUAGUAAUACUUCUCGCGAUUGAGUUCGAUAGGUCUACUUGCCAGUAACCCCCAAUUUUUACAGGUUGACCUCGGAUCAGGUAGGGAUACCAGCUGAACUUAAGCAUAUCAAUAAGCGGAGGA
RNAcentral lists this unclassified non-coding RNA (329 nucleotides) under soil metagenome. Its description in RNAcentral is "partial contains 5.8S ribosomal RNA, internal transcribed spacer 2, and large subunit ribosomal RNA". The stretch from base 1 to 120 matches the Rfam family "5.8S ribosomal RNA", at positions 35 to 154 of the family's 154-position model. The record is from RNAcentral.